UAAUACGAAGGGUGCAAGCGUUAAUCGGAAUUACUGGGCGUAAAGCGUGCGUAGGUGGUUGUUUAAGUCUGUCGUGAAAGCCCUGGGCUCAACCUGGGAAUGGCGAUGGAUACUGGGCGACUGGAGUGCGGUAGAGGAUGGCGGAAUUCCCGGUGUAGCGGUGAAAUGCGUAGAGAUCGGGAGGAACAUCCGUGGCGAAGGCGGCCAUCUGGACCAGCACUGACACUGAGGCACGAAAGCGUGGGGAGCAAACAGG
This 256-nucleotide ribosomal RNA is filed under the name uncultured bacterium. RNAcentral describes it as "partial 16S ribosomal RNA". It matches the Rfam family "Bacterial small subunit ribosomal RNA", at positions 521 to 776 of the family's 1533-position model. The record is from RNAcentral.